RNAcentral lists this ribosomal RNA (469 nucleotides) under uncultured bacterium. RNAcentral describes it as "SSU rRNA". It matches the Rfam family "Bacterial small subunit ribosomal RNA", at positions 26 to 518 of the family's 1533-position model. The record is from RNAcentral.
AGGACUAACGCUGGCGGCGUGCCUAACACAUGCAAGUCGAACGAGGGGUAGCAAUACCCCUAGUGGCAGACGGGUGAGUAACACGUAGUCAACCUACCUCUUAAUGGGGGAUAACUAGCCGAAAGGUUAGCUAAUACCGCAUACGAUCGUCGAGUGGCAUCACACGACGAUGAAAGGAGCAAUCCGUUGAGAGAGGGGACUGCGUCCCAUUAGUUAGUUGGUGGGGUAAUGGCCUACCAAGACUCCGAUGGGUAGCUGGCUUGAGAGAGCGACCAGCCACACUGGAACUGAGACACGGUCCAGACUCCUACGGAGGCAGCAGUGAGGAAUUUUCCGCAAUGGGGGAAACCCUGACGGAGCGACGCCGCGUGUGGGAAGAAGGCCUUCGGGUCGUAAACCACUGUCGAGGGGGACGAGUAUUGACGGUACCCCUGGAGGAAGCCCCGGCUAACUACGUGCCAGCAGCCGC